This is a non-coding RNA of Schistosoma rodhaini, 45 nucleotides long. The record is from Rfam. NCBI's taxonomy places the organism in Eukaryota, Metazoa, Platyhelminthes, Trematoda, Strigeidida, Schistosomatidae.
AUCCAGCUGACGAGUCCCAAAUAGGACCAAACGCACGUCCUGGAU